CCGUCCCAUAAUAGUUGUCGCUUUAACUUUUUCCUUGCAACAUUUGACCAUUCGUUUUAUUUGAAAAAAUUAGUGCAAAUAUAAAAAAGGAUAAGUCAUACUUAAAGUACUUUUGAUAAUAAAGCAAAUCACAAAGGAAAUAAAUAAUAAUUCCAAAAUUUUUUGAAUAAGACAAAUGAUCAAACAUUAUAAAGGAAAACUCAAAGCGACAAGUAAUAUGGGACGGAGGU
Molecule: unclassified non-coding RNA, 230 nt
Filed under: Oryza sativa (Asian cultivated rice)
Lineage: Eukaryota; Viridiplantae; Streptophyta; Magnoliopsida; Poales; Poaceae
Description: partial microRNA MIR431b-2 precursor
Source: RNAcentral